AUUAAUCACCGUCUCCCUGGAGAGCGCGCCUGGACUCGGGGCCAUCACUCCGUGCGAUGAAACGAACUGAGACAAAAGCGCAGAGCAACCACUUGCCUCCCGCCGAUGGAGACGCCCUUUUACGAAGGCUUCCCGUUUCCAGAAGAACCUGCCGAAGGGAAAUUUGAGGAAAAUGCCCGUAAACCAAGAGGGAGGCAAACUGCCCGGGGCCUGGUGUUUCAAACAUCAGCUUCCUACAGGAAUUUAUCCUGGACCCAUGGAGCCACAUUGUCUUAUAAAGUGAACUGGAAACGUGAUGACUUCCUCUGUCGCCCUGCGUGAUUCCUAAAUGUCACCGAGAGACCCAAGACGUCUCAAUCUCGCCGGAUGGUGCAAACGGGAAGCCAGGGGCUUUCGGGGGUGACCCCGGUCUCGCCGACGCAGAGGGACCUCUCUCCGUGGGACGUACGUGCAGCUCGUCA
Molecule: long non-coding RNA, 461 nt
Organism: Miniopterus natalensis
Lineage: Eukaryota; Metazoa; Chordata; Mammalia; Chiroptera; Miniopteridae
Source: RefSeq, a predicted model, not a curated record